GGCGGCUGUUGCGGCCUGAGGGGGUCGGGGCGCUGCGGGCGGGAGGCGCAGUCAUGCCCCGGUAUUACGAGGACAAGCCGGAGGGCGGCGCGUGCGCGGGCGUGCGGGAGGACCUGGGCGCCUGUCUGCUGCAGUCGGACUGUGUGCUCAAGGAAGGAAAGUCCCCUCGGCAGUGUCUGAAGGAGGGAAACUGCAAAGCUCUGAAAUACUCGUUUUUUGAAUGUAAACGAUCAAUGUUGGAUGCCAGAUCAAGAUUCAGAGGAAGAAAAGGAUAUUGAUACUAUUAUGUUGAAACCAAGAUGAAAUCAACAAAGGAUUUUUCUCUCCAGUAAAACAGAGAAGCCAAAAUAGGAAACAUACUUUUUGCUACAUCUGUUUGGUUGGACCAGUUUUUCCCUCCCUGGAACACUGGAGAAAAUGUAUGGGUUCUGUUUUUGAAUAUGUAUGAAGGUGGCUCUUUCACUUUAGAAGUCAUCUGGAUGCAUCGGUGUCUUAGUGACCCUGAAUACCUCGAGUUGGCUGCCGUCCACGGUGUCUCAGCACUAGCAUUAGCCUAGAAGCAAUCUGAAAACCAUCACCAAAUAUCAAUAACUUCCCUUUCUUAAAUCAUCUUCCCAUCUUUGUUUCAUUCUGCCCAUUUCUCACUAGAGCAGAAAAGAUUUCGGAUAUAUAUUUAGCCUGACUUCAUGAGUAAAAGGCCUCAGUGACAUUAAAACUCAGCACAAAGGGCAAGCCUACUGAGUCUCUUUUCUCAGAUACUCUAAAGAAAACCAUCACCACCCACGGCCUCGGCUGAUCUCAUGGUGUCCUUUCUCA
Ceratotherium simum simum (southern white rhinoceros) is the source of this 816-nucleotide non-coding RNA. Lineage: Eukaryota; Metazoa; Chordata; Mammalia; Perissodactyla; Rhinocerotidae. The record is from RefSeq and is a predicted model, not a curated record.